UUAUAUUAUCAUUUUUGCUGGAGUAAAAUCUGAAGCCUAUUCCCACUUCAUUCAGGUAAACAAAGAGUCGACUUUUCAUAUGGAAAUGGGAGAGUCUCUCAAAGAUGGGUCCCCCGAGCAGAAUAUAUUCCCCACUGAAUAAACAUGAUCGUAGACAUGGUGUAAUGUCUAAUCUAUUUCUGAAUGUAAUGGCAUUGAAAUAUUUUGAUGGAAGUAGGAGGACACAUAGUAAAAUAUUCAUGAUUCACUGGUCAUCUGGUAAAUCCCUGAAGAAAUGCUGA
This 281-nucleotide long non-coding RNA is filed under the name Cricetulus griseus (Chinese hamster). RNAcentral's name for it is "lncRNA (ENSCGRG00000025084.1)". Lineage: Eukaryota; Metazoa; Chordata; Mammalia; Rodentia; Cricetidae. The record is from RNAcentral.